UCACUGAUGCAUCUACCUCCCACUACCCUGACAGCAACGGAAAGGUCACAAUUAAGUGGAAACUCGCCGCACAGCCUGUUUAAUCUGAAGGGGGAAGGGAAAGAAACGCGAAGAAAAGGACAAAAAUCUGCGCGCCUCCAAGGCAGGCAGGCAGGCACCUCCGUGGAAAACCCACUCCCGCCUGCUGACACCUAUGCUCAUCCAACAGAUCAUGCCGACUGAAGAUGCAGGUUGCUCUUUAAAACAACAGGAUCAUGUCCUGCAACCAACCAUGUGGGUGGGGAGAAUGUGUGAACUCCCUAUUGAUGAUCAUGAUGCAGCUGAAGAAAAUUUGUCACCUCAGUGUGGUACAAUGUACUUACCAUGAUGCUAAAUAUCUUGUGGACACAUUUCCAGGACACAGCUCACACUCUUCUCCCUGCUGCCACCCUGUGAAAGAAGGUGCCUGCUUUCCCAUCCGCCAUGAUUGUAAGUUUCCU
Long non-coding RNA from Rhinopithecus roxellana (golden snub-nosed monkey), 479 nucleotides. RefSeq lists it as uncharacterized. The record is from RefSeq and is a predicted model, not a curated record. NCBI's taxonomy places the organism in Eukaryota, Metazoa, Chordata, Mammalia, Primates, Cercopithecidae. The transcript has 3 exons.